RNAcentral lists this ribosomal RNA (465 nucleotides) under uncultured bacterium. RNAcentral's name for it is "partial 16S ribosomal RNA". It matches the Rfam family "Bacterial small subunit ribosomal RNA", at positions 338 to 795 of the family's 1533-position model. The record is from RNAcentral.
CCUACGGGAGGCAGCAGUAGGGAAUCUUCCACAAUGGGCGAAAGCCUGAUGCAGCAACGCCGCGUGAGGGAAGAAGGGUUUCGGCUCGUAAAGCUCUGUUAGUAGUGAAGAAAGAUAGAGGUAGUAACUGGCCUUUAUUUGACGGUAAUUACUUAGAAAGUCACGGCUAACUCCGUGCCAGCAGCCGCGGUAAUACGUAGGUUGCAAGCGUUGUCCGGAUUUAUUUGGCGAAAAGCGAGUGCAGGCGGUUUAAUAAGUCUGAUGUGAAAGCCUGCGGCUCAACCGGAGAAUUGCAUCAGAAACUGGUGAACUUGAGUGCAGAAGAGGAGAGUGGAAUUCCAUGUGUAGCGGUGGAAUGCGUAGAUAUAUGGAAGAACACCAGUGGCGAAGGCGGCUAUCUGGUCUGCAACUGACGCUGAGGCUCGAAAGCAUGGGUAGCGAACAGGAUUAGAUACCCCUGUAGUC